AACGAACGCUGGCGGCAGGCUUAACACAUGCAAGUCGAGCGCCCCGCAAGGGGAGCGGCAGACGGGUGAGUAACGCGUGGGAACGUACCUUUUGCUACGGAAUAACUCAGGGAAACUUGUGCUAAUACCGUAUGUGCCCUUCGGGGGAAAGAUUUAUCGGCAAAGGAUCGGCCCGCGUUGGAUUAGCUAGUUGGUGAGGUAAAGGCUCACCAAGGCGACGAUCCAUAGCUGGUCUGAGAGGAUGAUCAGCCACACUGGGACUGAGACACGGCCCAGACUCCUACGGGAGGCAGCAGUGGGGAAUAUUGGACAAUGGGCGCAAGCCUGAUCCAGCCAUGCCGCGUGAGUGAUGAAGGCCCUAGGGUUGUAAAGCUCUUUCACCGGUGAAGAUAAUGACGGUAACCGGAGAAGAAGCCCCGGCUAACUUCGUGCCAGCAGCCGCGGUAAUACGAAGGGGGCUAGCGUUGUUCGGAUUUACUGGGCGUAAAGCGCACGUAGGCGGACUUUUAAGUCAGGGGUGAAAUCCCGGGGCUCAACCCCGGAACUGCCUUUGAUACUGGAAGUCUUGAGUAUGGUAGAGGUGAGUGGAAUUCCGAGUGUAGAGGUGAAAUUCGUAGAUAUUCGGAGGAACACCAGUGGCGAAGGCGGCUCACUGGACCAUUACUGACGCUGAGGUGCGAAAGCGUGGGGAGCAAACAG
RNAcentral lists this ribosomal RNA (699 nucleotides) under symbiotic bacterium T040. RNAcentral describes it as "bacterial SSU rRNA". It matches the Rfam family "Bacterial small subunit ribosomal RNA", at positions 28 to 775 of the family's 1533-position model. The record is from RNAcentral.